CCGCCGCCGUCGCUGCUCCCCAGACCACACGGCCGUCCGCCGCGCUCCUCCUCCCGGCUCCACGCUCCACCGCCUCGCUCCUCUUCCCGGCUCCACGCUCCGCGGCCCCGCUCCUCCAGCCAACUCCCGACAACGCGCGCCGCGCCAAGCACACCCAUCUCGUCUGCGGAUACGAGCAUGCGACCAUGAUAGCUUAUUCUCUCAAAUCCACCACCACGUUCAUUGAUUCCAUGGAGGAGCUGCCUGAGAUUACUACCAGAUUUUGGGAGACGUGAGGAGAAGACGGGGAGAAAGACCACUCCAGGGAGAGAGAGAGGGGCCAGAGCACCAUCGGCGCGCGUUGACCACCAGGCGGAGGUAGGGGAGAGGGGGCUCUGGGCGGCACCGCUCCUCCCGUGCCGUGUUCGUGCAGGAGCCAGGGAUUGAGGAGGGAACCACGCGUCCGUGCAAUGCGACCCUCGUCUGCGGCCGAGCAAAUCGUGGAUUUUUUGGGGCAUGCGGGGUCUUUGGUUUGUGGACGACGGCGAGAAGCGCGGCGAGGUGGAUGUGGCGUAGUACCUCACUGUAAAUUCCCCUACCGCACUUCGUCUACAGGGUGAGGCGUUCUGAACCAGUUUUGGAUUUGCCAAAGUGCGUGUAUUGAGUUGCCGCAGGCGUGAGCACGAGUUGCACGAAGAUGUGGUGUGAGUUCGCCAGAGUUUGCGUUUCUCGAAGGAUGAGGCCAUCCAGAGAAGGAGGCAGAGCAUCCAAAGGAUCAAGCCUGUGCCUCACCCAGGGUGAGACGGCCCAAGGAAGAGCGACAAUGAAUUUCCAGUAUCAUUUGGAUAGUACGAGGAAGGGGAGAACAAAUCUACUUUUUUCCACUGCAAGUGGGGCUGAAGUUUCCUACAAUAAAUUUUCUAGUAUAUAUGCGCGAUUUGAGAGGAAUAGUUUCCUGGGGCGGCUAUCGCGGAGGAGUUGAGACUGGGGUGCGGUAGCCGAGCAGCAGCAGUGGAGCUGCUCAUUCCGAGGGGAGGCGGGAGGGGAGAGGGAGAGGAGUCGAGGUCUUAGUGCGGCCAUCAUCGACAUUGAGCAACCCGACCAGGCAAAAAAGGUUAGCAAAAGGAAAAGGGCGUUCAGCAAGAUCCCCAAUAGUUAACCCCGAUGUUGAUCCAUCUCCUGCCAUCGAAGUGCAGCAAACAGAGUGGUGGGCAUGGAAGAAUUUGUUGGAGACUUUGGGAGGGAAGAGAGGGGGGAUAUGUGGUUUUGGUGUUCAAUCGAGCGAUGGUGGUGCUGGAUAUCCUCCUGGUGACGCACGCCUCAACCGGCAGGGCCUACAUGUACAUGAUUUCGCAAGAUCCUAUUUCCUGAGUGCUUUUUUCCUCCAUUCACUCGUUGUGGAUGGACCGAUUCCAGGCAAGGUUCCAAUAGCUUCCGCUUGGGAUGAAAACCUCAUACUCAAGGUCAUGAGGAAGGAAAAGAAGGGUCCAGGAGGAGUAUAGCAAGCUACGAGGCGCAUUACAAAACAUUGCAGGAGAUUAGAGAAAUGAGGGAAAACAUGACGGGGAAAGUUUGCACCCACGAUAAACAGAGGUCCUUCCGAUGGGGUGGAACCAGGGGAAGGGAAUAAAUUCCCCUGUCCUCCUUUUGCGUGUGGGAGAAGAAGGACGUGAGGACGGAUGGGGAGCGGAGAAGAAAGGAGGGAGGGGCCAAUGUGUGCAGAGGGGCAGUUGAGAGUCGGCUUUGGUGUAGCACGUGAUCGGGAGAUUGGGAGGAGAUAAGCUGGGUGAACGGGGGAUGUGGGAGACAGUUGCCCCUUUACUUUCCAAAUCUGGACUGAGGGGGGACCGAAACAUACCACAUACGGGAGGCUGCCAAGGGGCUCUGGCGGGCACACGUUUGCCCACUAGACGCGUCCAAUAGACAAACAUGUUACAUCUAAAUAUCUUCGCCGAGUCGUUUUUCGAUGGAACUAGGCAAAGUAUGUUGGAACUUUUGCUAACAUGCCUUAUUAGUCACUGUACAUGCCCCAAGCGUCACGUUUGUGGGACAGGCAAGGCAUGUGUGGUAUGGUGAGUGCGUGAUCUAUGUGCAUGUCCGAUCGAAUGGUCCACGGGUACGUACGUUGGCAUAUCAGUACGUAAAACUCAAUUAACGUCGUAAUCACCAUCCUGCCUCA
This is a long non-coding RNA of Triticum dicoccoides, 2158 nucleotides long. RefSeq lists it as uncharacterized. The record is from RefSeq and is a predicted model, not a curated record. Lineage: Eukaryota; Viridiplantae; Streptophyta; Magnoliopsida; Poales; Poaceae. The transcript is spliced from 10 exons.